GGCCUCAUAGUCUAGUCUGGAUAUGACAUCACCCUCCUAAGGUGAGGAUCGGGAGUUCGAAUCUCCCUGGGGUCG
RNAcentral lists this transfer RNA (75 nucleotides) under Nanoarchaeales archaeon. RNAcentral's name for it is "tRNA-Arg". It matches the Rfam family "tRNA". From Rfam's summary of the family: Transfer RNA (tRNA) molecules are approximately 80 nucleotides in length. Their secondary structure includes four short double-helical elements and three loops (D, anti-codon, and T loops). The record is from RNAcentral. Lineage: Archaea; Nanobdellati; Nanobdellota; Candidatus Nanoarchaeia; Nanoarchaeales.